AUAGUUUGAUCCUGGUCAUAACUGUUUCCUGACGGCAUGCCUAACACAUGCAAGUCGAACGGAAACGAUGGAAGCUUGCUUCCAGGCGUCGAGUGGCGGACGGGUGAGUAAUACUUAGGAAUCUGCCCAUUAGUGGGGGACAACUCGAGGAAACUCGAGCUAAUACCGCAUACGCCCUACGGGGGAAAGCGGGGGUCUUCGGACCUCGCGCUAAUGGAUGAGCCUAAGCCGGAUUAGCUUGUUGGUAGUGUAAUGGCCUACCAAGGCGACGAUCCGUAGCUGUUCUGAGAGGAAGAUCAGCCACACUGGGACUGAGACACGGCCCAGACUCCUACGGGAGGCAGCAGUGGGGAAUAUUGGACAAUGGGCGCAAGCCUGAUCCAGCAAUGCCGCGUGUGUGAAGAAGGCCUGCGGGUUGUAAAGCACUUUCAGUAGAGAAGAAAAGCUUAGGGUUAAUACCCCUGGGUCUUGACGUUACCUACAGAAGAAGCUCCGGCUAACUCCGUGCCAGCAGCCGCGGUAAUACGGAGGGAGCGAGCGUUAAUCGGAAUUACUGGGCGUAAAGCGCGCGUAGGCGGCUUUGUCAGUCGGAUGUGAAA
This 599-nucleotide ribosomal RNA is filed under the name uncultured bacterium. Its description in RNAcentral is "bacterial SSU rRNA". It matches the Rfam family "Bacterial small subunit ribosomal RNA", at positions 8 to 599 of the family's 1533-position model. The record is from RNAcentral.